UCUGGUGUCAGCCGCCGCGGUAAAACCAGCACCUCAAGUGGUCAGGAUGAUUAUUGGGCCUAAAGCAUCCGUAGCCUGCUUUGUUAGUUUUCGGUUAAAUCCAUACGCUCAACGUAUGGGCUGCCGGGAAUACUGCAAAGCUAGGGAGUGGGAGAGGUAGACGGUACUCGGUAGGAAGGGGUAAAAUCCUUUGAUCUAUUGAUGACCACCUGUGGCGAAGGCGGUCUACCAGAACACGUCCGACGGUGAGGGACGAAAGCUGGGGGAGCAAACCGGAUUAGAUACCCGGGUAGUCCCAGCUGUAAACUAUGCAAACUCGGUGAUGCAUUGGCUUGAUGCCAAUGCAGUGCCGCAGGGAAGCCGUUAAGUUUGCCGCCUGGGAAGUACGUACGCAAGUAUGAAACUUAAAGGAAUUGGCGGGGGAGCACCACAAGGGGUGAAGCCUGCGGUUCAAUUGGAGUCAACGCCAGAAAUCUUACCCGGAGAGACAGCAGAAUGAAGGUCAAGCUGAAGACUUUACCAGACAAGCU
RNAcentral lists this ribosomal RNA (530 nucleotides) under uncultured Nitrososphaerota archaeon. RNAcentral describes it as "bacterial SSU rRNA". It matches the Rfam family "Archaeal small subunit ribosomal RNA", at positions 451 to 981 of the family's 1478-position model. Lineage: Archaea; Thermoproteati; Nitrososphaerota. The record is from RNAcentral.